CGCCAAGAGUUGGUGCCCCUUGGGGGUUCUUCAUGUCUCUUCCUAACCUAUUUAUACGAGGCAUCCCAUAUGGGUUGGGUACUAGAUUUUGGUUGAAAAUCAGAGGCUUUUGGUGUGUGAUAAGAGCAAAAAAAUUUAAAAAAAAAUUUAAAAAAAAUAAGAAAAAAUUUGAGAGGAAAAAUAGUAAGAAGGGUGGUGAGAAAAAUAGCAAGUG
Molecule: long non-coding RNA, 214 nt
Filed under: Elaeis guineensis (African oil palm)
Lineage: Eukaryota; Viridiplantae; Streptophyta; Magnoliopsida; Arecales; Arecaceae
Description: long non-coding RNA (EGUI_LNC065598)
Source: RNAcentral